RNAcentral lists this ribosomal RNA (410 nucleotides) under uncultured bacterium. RNAcentral's name for it is "bacterial SSU rRNA". It matches the Rfam family "Bacterial small subunit ribosomal RNA", at positions 370 to 772 of the family's 1533-position model. The record is from RNAcentral.
AAUGGGCGCAAGCCUGAUCCAGCCAUGCCGCGUGAGUGAAGAAGGCCUUCGGGUUGUAAAGCUCUUUCGGCGGGGAAGAAAUGGCACGCUCUAACAUAGCGUGUUGAUGACGGUACCCGCAUAAGAAGCACCGGCUAACUACGUGCCAGCAGCCGCGGUAAUACGUAGGGUGCGAGCGUUAAUCGGAAUUACUGGGCGUAAAGCGUGCGCAGGCGGUUUCGUAAGACAGAGGUGAAAUCCCCGGGCUCAACCUGGGAAUGGCCUUUGUGACUGCGAGGCUAGAGUGUGACAGAGGGGGGUAGAAUUCCACGUGUAGCAGUGAAAUGCGUAGAGAUGUGGAGGAAUACCGAUGGCGAAGGCAGCCCCCUGGGUUACUACUGACGCUCAUGCACGAAAGCGUGGGGAGCAAA